GACGAACGCUGGCGGCGUGCUUAACACAUGCAAGUCGAACGGAAAGGCCUGCUUUCCCUUGUGGAUUGCGGGUACUCGAGUGGCGAACGGGUGAGUAACACGUGAGUGAUCUGCCCCCAACUUGGGUAUAAGCCUGGGAAACUGGGUCUAAUUCCCGAUAGGACUGCAGGGUGGUGCCUGUGGUGGAAAACGAUUUUCUAGUGGUUGGGGAUGAGCUCGCGGCCUAUCAGCUUGUUGGUGGGGUAAUGGCCUACCAAGGCGGCGACGGGUAGCCGGCCUGAGAGGGUGGACGGCCACAUUGGGACUGAGCUACGGCCCAGACUCCUACGGGAGGCAGCAGUGGGGAAUAUUGCACAAUGGGCGGAAGCCUGAUGCAGCGACGCCGCGUGGGGGAUGACGGCCUUCGGGUUGUAAACUCCUUUCGACCGCGAGGAAGCCACCUGGUUGGAAGGGUGGUGACGGUAGUGGUAGAAGAAGCACCGGCGAACUACGU
RNAcentral lists this ribosomal RNA (493 nucleotides) under uncultured bacterium. RNAcentral describes it as "partial 16S ribosomal RNA". It matches the Rfam family "Bacterial small subunit ribosomal RNA", at positions 28 to 506 of the family's 1533-position model. The record is from RNAcentral.